GUUUUAAGGAACACUGUUUAUUUCUCAGGAGGUAUCAGAUAGCAGGAUUAUUGGGUUAUGAAGUUAAGCCAGAGCAUUUGCUGAGGUCAGCCCAGGACAAGCCACUAACCGAAUAAGGAGUGGGAAGCCUGCUGUGUGCUGGGAUCCCGUUUGCACAACGGAGCAAAGCGUUGCAGUGCCAAGACCCAAGUUGCUUCCCUGUGACUGCACUGGCUCGCACCUGCACGUCAUCCUGCCGUGCUCCCAUGCCUGGAUCCAAGACAGCCUGAAUCUUUGUUUUCCAUUUCCGAAAGCUCUGGAGGAUGGAAUGAAGAUGUCGGUGUAGGAGGGGCAGAGGGGCAGGCAAUGCAAGCCAGCGCUGGAUUCACACACAAGUGUGCCUGCUCUGUACAAGCAGCAGAUGACGGACACCCCAGCUGUUUCC
Long non-coding RNA from Chroicocephalus ridibundus (black-headed gull), 424 nucleotides. RefSeq lists it as uncharacterized. The transcript has 3 exons. NCBI's taxonomy places the organism in Eukaryota, Metazoa, Chordata, Aves, Charadriiformes, Laridae. The record is from RefSeq and is a predicted model, not a curated record.